Long non-coding RNA from Brienomyrus brachyistius, 1081 nucleotides. RefSeq lists it as uncharacterized. The record is from RefSeq and is a predicted model, not a curated record. The transcript is spliced from 8 exons. Lineage: Eukaryota; Metazoa; Chordata; Actinopteri; Osteoglossiformes; Mormyridae.
GAAAACGCCCAAGAAUGACGAAAUUUGAAUUUCCCGUGCAUUCCACAUCGACGAUUGUCGAUUCGGAACCACUCGGGAACCCUCGGCGCAGAUGCCGUUUUCCAGCCAUUUUUUUUACACUUACUUUGAGUGGGGAAAUUCUCGGAUGUUUUCAAGAGGGUCCAGCUGCAGAAGACUGUAGAGUGGAACUCCACAGGAAAUAUGUCAGCUCCACAGGAAACACGUGAUCUUUAAGAACGUAAAGUGGGGCUAAUCUUUACGCCGUAAAAUGGAGCUCCACAGGAAACACGCGAUCUACACUGUGUUUGUACCAAGAGAGAGUCUGGACUAAGUCUUCGAACCUGAAGUAAGUUAAGCAAAACACGCGAUCUACACUGUGUUUAUACCAAGAGAGAGUCUGGACUAAGUCUUCGAACCUGAAUUGCCAUUACAUUAAAAGGAACAUUGUUUUAUAAACCAAAUUGUAAACAUGGAUCCCCGUUUAAAAGCGGCUUUGCUUUAGAAAAGACAAAAUUAUACGGCGGUACACACUACCAUGCCGGGAUCCAUCAGUCGGACAUUGUCACCCGGACUUGGCUUCCUCCCUACAACCAUGAGCCACUUCAAUCCCUUCCUGAAGCUUGCAGAGAAUAUCAGUCCAGGGGAGUGGUCUGAAAUAAAUGGCUUUGAGUUGGAGGGGUUUCCAAGCCAAGACUUUGAGGUUGACUGUGGCAUCUACAUGUUGAUGUUAGACAUGCCGAAAUUGCGGAAAUGGUGGUGCCUGCUGCUAAUGGAAAACUUCGAUCUCCGAAGUUAUAAGGUAUUUGCACACUGGACAAAGGAAUCAGAGGCUGUGCUGAGAGGUGAACAUGCACCUGUAUUCAGACUAAGAAAGCGCAAAUCUGUGGAACUUAGCCUGAAACCAGCAGAAGGGAUGUGCUGGAUGGAGACAACAUAGAAUCCAAGGAGCCAUUCCUCUUUGGUUUUCAGGUCCAAGAGGACAUAGAAUUAUUUUUACAGGCCUGUGUUGACCAGCGGGGCCUUCGGGUUAAUGCUGUCUGUUAUAAGAAUGAUUAAAUUACUGGCACAUGAGUGUGUUGAU